AUUGGUCAAAGGCAAUGUGAAAGUUAGACACAUGGUAGCACAUGUGAGGGAGGCCUACACGAUUAGUCAAUAGAUGAGUUAGUCAACUCAUCAAGUGGAUAAGGAGAAACCACAUAAGGGACAUGUGUCAUAGAGAGACAAUGGAAGGAGAAACAAGAAAAUGGAGGGAGUCCACCCAUGAGGACUCAGACCUCACUUAUCCUUCUCCUUCUCUUUGUUAUGGCCUACCACCAAACAACCAAACACAGUUUGCUUCGCCAGAUAAUGAAUCCACGCAGCGUUUCCCAUAGUGGACUUGAUGAACAUCGAUGAAUAAUCAUCGUGUUCUUCAAGUCCAAACCUAGAAACCUCCAGAGAUUUCUCAAACACCAAAACUUUUCAAUCAGAUCCUAUAUGAAAUACUAUCGCAAACAUGAAUCUAAUUUUAAUUCAACCAAAAACAACACAGAUUCUCAUAUCAAACCCGCCCUAAACAAAACCCUAAAUGAUAAAUCAUUCCCCAAAUUUCACAAUCCAAGCUAAUAGACAAUGAUUCAAGUUAUGGAGUUAACAACAUAACAAAAUAUCAAGCGUGAAAAUGGCGUAAAAUAAUACAGAAGGCCUCGUCGAAGCUUUGAAACUCCGGCGAGGUUUCAGCGACGGCGAAGGUACCUCAAAUGCAGGGUAAUGGUAAGAUGAUGCUUUGGGAUGAUGUUAUAGUCAUGGUGAAAUGGUGCAAAGGUAAAGGGAAUAAGAUGGAAGCAAAUUAAAGAUGGUGAUGAGAUCGGGAUGAUGGUGAUAAAGAGGAGGUCAUGAGGGCCACCAACAUUUUGGAAAUUCAUUCUUUUUGUUUUAUUUUUUGUCUUAUUAUUUUAAAAAUGUGACGUGUGCAUAAUGUUAACAAAAUACUCUUUUAAAUAUUUUUGUAUUAAUAUUUGACAAUGUAAAGUAAAAAAUACUCAUUCAUUUUAUGGAAUACACAUCCUCUUCAUCAUA
Lathyrus oleraceus (garden pea) is the source of this 975-nucleotide long non-coding RNA. RefSeq lists it as uncharacterized. The transcript is spliced from 2 exons. NCBI's taxonomy places the organism in Eukaryota, Viridiplantae, Streptophyta, Magnoliopsida, Fabales, Fabaceae. The record is from RefSeq and is a predicted model, not a curated record.